UUUCGAAUAAAAUAUUGGGAAACAACAUAAAUGUAAAAUUUAUAAAAUGAGUGCAUAAUUUUUUUAAAUCGAAUAUGUUGUUUCAUUUGUAACUUGUGCAAUAUCUAUACAACAUUAUUAAGCCACAGUUAAGGAGCGGACACAUAUCGUAAAAAUAAGAAUGCGCCUUAAUUUUAUAGAUAUUGUAGGACACACGAUAGGGGAAGAGAGAUAAUAAAAUUUGUAAGAAAAUUUUUAUCCAACUCUUCCUUAAAAUUUGUGUAGAGUCGAGAAAUGAGAAUCUCCAUUUUUUUUUUUUUAAUAUUUUGUGCGCGAAGAGGAGAGAUUUUGUUCUAGAUUCAAUUCCUACUUAGGGUUGGGGUCCUCUCCGCCACGGACUCACCCAAAGAAAAAGUAGAGAUUUUAAGAAGAGAGAGAAAGUGGAUAUUUUAGGGGAGAUAGAAAUUUUCCAUAUCUUAAUUUUAGAAAUAGGAGAUUUUUUUCCCUAUUUUUGGUUCAAACUGCCUAAAAUAGGUAUCUAUCCCUAACUAAAUUCAAAAGAGAGAAAGAUAUGCAUAUAUAUCUAAGAUUGUUUGCGUGAAGAGUAGAUAUUUUAGGAAGAAAGAUUAUAAUUAGCAAGUCGCGGAUUUAAUCGAGACUUUUUCAUAAAAUCAACAUUUUUUGGAAACUUUUUCAAUCGAUCGGUAAAAAUACGCGGUCUUUCCCGGAAGAAG
This 713-nucleotide long non-coding RNA is filed under the name Amborella trichopoda. RNAcentral describes it as "long non-coding RNA (ATRI_LNC005397)". The record is from RNAcentral. Lineage: Eukaryota; Viridiplantae; Streptophyta; Magnoliopsida; Amborellales; Amborellaceae.